GAUGAAGAACGUAGCGAAAUGCGGUACUUGGUGUGAAUUGCAGAAUCCCGUGAACCAUCGAGUCUUUGAACGCAAGUUGCGCCUCAAGCCAUUAGGUUGAGGGCACGUCUGCCUGGGCGUCACAUAUCGUUGCCUGAUGCCAGUUUCCUCGUGAUGGGUGACUGUGCAGGGCGAAUGAUGGCUUCCCGUGAGCAUUGUUGCCUCAUGGUUGGUUGAAAAUUGAGUCCUUGGUAGGGAGCGCCGUGAUAGAUGGUGGUUGAGUGACGAACGAGACCCAAUCAUGUGAGACCCCUACCGAAUUUGGCCUUCAUGACCCACAUGCGUCUUUGGAACGCUCAUGACGAGACCUCAGGUCAGGCGGGGCUACCCGCUGAGUUUAAGCAUAUCAAUAAGCGGAGGA
RNAcentral lists this unclassified non-coding RNA (400 nucleotides) under soil metagenome. RNAcentral describes it as "partial contains 5.8S ribosomal RNA, internal transcribed spacer 2, and large subunit ribosomal RNA". The stretch from base 1 to 122 matches the Rfam family "5.8S ribosomal RNA", at positions 35 to 154 of the family's 154-position model. The record is from RNAcentral.